Molecule: ribosomal RNA, 406 nt
Filed under: uncultured bacterium
Lineage: Bacteria
Description: partial 16S ribosomal RNA
Rfam family: Bacterial small subunit ribosomal RNA
Source: RNAcentral
AUUGAACGCUGGCGGCAGGCCUAACACAUGCAAGUCGAGCGAGCGGCGGACGGGUGAGUAAUGUCUGGGACACUGCCUGAUGGAGGGGGAUAACUACUGGAAAAGGUAGCUAAUACCGCAUACCAUCAGAUGUGCCCAGAUGGGCUUAGAUAGUAGGUGCGGUAACGUCUCACCUAGGCAACGAUCCCUAGCUGGUCUGAGAGGAUGACCAGCCUCAAUGUAACUGAGACACGGUCCAGACUCCUACGGGAGGCAGCAGUGGGGAAUAUUGCACAAUGGGAGCAAGACUGAUGCAGCCAUGCGGCGUGUAUGAAGAAGGCCUUCGGGUUGUAAAGUACUUUCAGCGGGGAGGCGUUACCCGCAGAAGAAGCACCGGCUAACUCCGUGCCAGCAGCCGCGGUAAUUC